Molecule: ribosomal RNA, 253 nt
Filed under: uncultured prokaryote
Description: partial 16S ribosomal RNA
Rfam family: Bacterial small subunit ribosomal RNA
Source: RNAcentral
UACGGAGGGCGCAAGCGUUGUUCGGAAUUACUGGGCGUAAAGGGUUCGUAGGUGGCCCGCCAAGUCAGACGUGAAAUCCCUCAGCUUAACUGGGGAACUGCGUCUGAGACUGGCGGGCUCGAGGGUCGGAGAGGAACGCGGAAUUCCUGGUGUAGCGGUGAAAUGCGUAGAUAUCAGGAGGAACACCGGUGGCGAAGGCGGAUCUCUGGACCAGUUCUGACACUGAUGAGCGAAAGCCAGGGGAGCAAACAGG